RNAcentral lists this ribosomal RNA (835 nucleotides) under Symbiodinium sp. CCMP2430. RNAcentral's name for it is "partial Bacterial large subunit ribosomal RNA". It matches the Rfam family "Bacterial large subunit ribosomal RNA", at positions 22 to 920 of the family's 2925-position model. The record is from RNAcentral. Lineage: Eukaryota; Dinophyceae; Suessiales; Symbiodiniaceae.
UGGUGAAUGCCUUGGCGAUAAGAGGCGAUGAAAGACGUGGCACGCUGCGAAAAGCUGCGGUGAGGUGCGAGCAACCUUUGACCCGCAGAUAUCUGAAUGGGGAAACCCACCCUUCGGGGUAUCCUGUAGUGAAUACAUAGCUGCAGGAGGCAAACCCGGGGAACUGAAACAUCUCAGUACCCGGAGGAAAGGACAUCAAUUGAGACUCCGUUAGUAGUGGCGAGCGAACGCGGAUCAGGCCAGUGCUCUUAUCAAUCGAAGUGGAACCGUCUGGAAAGUCGGGCCGCAGUGGGUGACAGCCCCGUACACGUCAGUGAGAUAAGAGCCUCGAGUAGGGCGGGACACGUGAAAUCCUGUCUGAACAUGGGGGGACCACCCUCCAAGCCUAAGUACUCCUUGUCGACCGAUAGCGAACAAGUACCGUGAGGGAAAGGUGAAAAGCACCCCGACGAGGGGAGUGAAACAGACCCUGAAACCGGAUGCCUACAAACAGUUGGAGGGCUUCGUGCCUGACAGCGUACCUUUUGUAUAAUGGGUCAGCGACUUAAUUUAACGAGCAAGCUUAAGCCGAUAGGUGUAGGCGCAGCGAAAGCGAGUCUGAAUAGGGCGUCAAGUUCGUUGGAUUAGACCCGAAACCGAGUGAUCUAGCCAUGGCCAGGUUGAAGGUGCGGUAACACGCACUGGAGGACCGAACCCACGCCUGUUGAAAAAGUCGGGGAUGAGCUGUGGCUAGGGGUGAAAGGCCAAUCAAACUCGGAAAUAGCUGGUUCUCCGCGAAAUCUAUUUAGGUAGAGCGUCUCAUGAAUACCAUCGGGGGUAGAGCACUGGAUGGGCU